ACGAACGCUGGCGGCGCGCUUCACCCAUGCAAGUCGAACGGAAAGGCCUGCUUUCCCUUGUGGAUUGCGGGUACUCGAGUGGCGAACGGGUGAGUAACACGUGAGUGAUCUGCCCCCAACUUGGGUAUAAGCCUGGGAAACUGGGUCUAAUUCCCGAUAGGACUGCAGGGUGGUGCCUGUGGUGGAAAACGAUUUUCUAGUGGUUGGGGAUGAGCUCGCGGCCUAUCAGCUUGUUGGUGGGGUAAUGGCCUACCAAGGCGGCGACGGGUAGCCGGCCUGAGAGGGUGGACGGCCACAUUGGGACUGAGAUACGGCCCAGACUCCUACGGGAGGCAGCAGUGGGGAAUAUUGCACAAUGGGCGGAAGCCUGAUGCAGCGACGCAGCGUGGGGGAUGACGGCCUUCGGGUUGUAAACUCCUUUCGACCGCGAGGAAGCCACCUGGUUGGAAGGGUGGUGACGGUAGUGGUAGAAGAAGCACCGGCUAACUACGUG
RNAcentral lists this ribosomal RNA (493 nucleotides) under uncultured bacterium. Its description in RNAcentral is "partial 16S ribosomal RNA". It matches the Rfam family "Bacterial small subunit ribosomal RNA", at positions 29 to 507 of the family's 1533-position model. The record is from RNAcentral.